This 1524-nucleotide ribosomal RNA is filed under the name uncultured bacterium. Its description in RNAcentral is "partial 16S ribosomal RNA". It matches the Rfam family "Bacterial small subunit ribosomal RNA". The record is from RNAcentral.
AGAGUUUGAUCAUGGCUCAGAUCGAACGCUGGCGGCGUGGCUAAAACAUGCAAGUCGUACGGAAAGGUCGUUUCUGAUCCUUCGGGUGACGAAGCGAUACUCGAGUGGCGAAAGGGCGAGGAAUACAUGGGCAACGUGCCUUCUGCACGAGGAUAACUGCGGGAAGCUGCAGUUAAUACUCGAUAAGACCACAGCACCUUCGGGUGCAGGGGUCAAAGGUGGGGACCUUCGGGCCUACCGGCAUUAGAGCGACCCAUGUCCUAUCAGCUUGUUGGUGAGGUAACGGCUCACCAAGGCGACGACGGGUACCGGGACUGAGAGGUUGACCCGGCGCAUCGGGACUGAGACACUGCCCGGACUCCUACGGGAGGCUGCAGUAACGAAUAUUCCGCAAUGGGCGAAAGCCUGACGGAGCGACGCCGCGUGUGGGAGGAAGCCCUUCGGGGUGUAAACCACUGUCANGGGAUUACCAAGCAAAGUUGGCGAAUAGCCUUCUGCGUUGAGGCGUCCCAGAGGAAGCCACGGCUAACUUCGUGCCAGCAGCCGCGGUAAUACGAAGGUGGCGAGCGUUGUUCGGAAUCACUGGGCUUAAAGGGCACGCAGGCGGACUGUCAAGCGUCUUGUGAAAGCCCCCGGCUUAACCGGGGAAUUGCUGGGCGAACUGGCAGUCUUGAGGCAGGUAAGGGCGAGCGGAACUCUUGGUGGAGCGGUGGAAUGCGUAGAUAUCANNNNNNNNNNNNNNNNNNNNNNNNNNNNNNNNNNNNNNNNNNNNNNNNNNNNNNNNNNNNNNNNNNNNNNNNNNCGGGAUUAGAUACCCGGGUAAUCCUUGCCAUAAACGAUGUCCACUUAGAUCGGUGAACUUCUGACAGUGCGCCGGACGAAACAAAAGCGUUAAGUNGACCGCCUGGGGAGUACGGUCGCAAGGCUAAAACUCAAAGGAAUUGACGGGGGCUCACACAAGCGGUGGAGCAUGUUGCUUAAUUCGAUGCAACGCGAAGAACCUUAUCCUGGACUUGACAUGUUAGGAUGCCUCCCUGGAAACAGGUUGGUUGCCCUUCGGGGUGAAACUUUCACAGGUGCUGCAUGGCUGUCGUCAGCUCGUGUCGUGAGAUGUUGGGUUAAGUCCCGUAACGAGCGAAACCCUUGUCGUUAGUUGCCAGCGCGUAAUGGCGGGGACUCUAGCGAGACUGCCGGUGUUAAACCGGAGGAAGGUGGGGAUGACGUCAAGUCCUCAUGGCCUUUAUGUCCAGGGCUGCAAACGUGCUACAAUGGCGUGUACAAACCGACGCAAGACCGCGAGGUGGAGCAAAUCGGAAAAAGCACGCCCCAGUUCGGAUUGGAGUCUGCAACUCGACUCCAUGAAGUCGGAAUCGCUAGUAAUGACGUAUCAGCUCGACGCGGUGAAUGUGUUCCUGAGCCUUGUACACACCGCCCGUCAAGUCAUGGAAGCUGGGAGCGCCCGAAGUCGGCAUGAAUCAGUGCUGCCUAAGGUGAGCUCGGUAACUGGGACUAAGUCGUAACAAG